RNAcentral lists this ribosomal RNA (232 nucleotides) under uncultured bacterium. RNAcentral describes it as "partial 16S ribosomal RNA". It matches the Rfam family "Bacterial small subunit ribosomal RNA", at positions 118 to 347 of the family's 1533-position model. The record is from RNAcentral.
UGAGCAAUCUGCCCUUCUCAUCGGAAUAAGCGUUGGAAACGACGUCUAAUGCCGAAUACGACCUCCUUUCGCAUGAUCGGAGGUGGAAAGCUACGGCGGAGAAGGAUGAGCUCGCGGCCUAUCAGCUAGUUGGUGUGGGUAAUGGCCCACAAGGCGACGACGGGUAGCCGGCCUGGAGAGGGUGACCCGGCCACACGUGGGACUGAGGCACGGCCCAGACUCCGUGGNGGAG